Molecule: ribosomal RNA, 306 nt
Filed under: uncultured bacterium
Lineage: Bacteria
Description: partial 16S ribosomal RNA
Rfam family: Bacterial small subunit ribosomal RNA
Source: RNAcentral
GACAGCAGUCGCCACGGGAAUACGAAGGGGGCUAGCGUUGCUCGGAAUUACUGGGCGUAAAGGGCGCGUAGGCGGACAGUUCAGUCGGGGGUGAAAGCCCGGGGCUCAACCUCGGAACUGCCUUUGAUACUGUCGAUCUUGAGUAUGGGAGGGGUGUGUGGAACUCCGAGUGUAGAGGUGAAAUUCGUAGAUAUUCGGAAGAACACCAGUGGCGAAGGCGACACACUGGCCCAUUACUGACGCUGAGGCUCGAGAGCGUGGGGAGCAAACAGGAUUAGAUACCCCGGUAGUCCCUGUCUCUUAUAA